AAUAUUGGACAAUGGAGGAAACUCUGAUCUAGUGACGCCGCGUGAAGGAAGAAGGUCUUCGGAUAGUAAACUUAUUUUGUUAGGGAAGAAAAAAACGAUAGUACCUGAAGAAGAAGGACCGUCAAACUACGUGUCAGCAGCCGCGGUAAUACGUAGGGUCCAAGCGUUAGCCGGAAUUACUGGGGGUAAAGGGCGAGUAGACGGUAAUUCAAAUUAGAUGUGAAAACUCAGGGCUCAACUUUGAGACUGCAUCUGAAACUGAGUGACUAGAGUGCAAAAGAGGGAAGGGGAAUUCCUAGUGUAUCGGUUAAAUGCAUAGAUAUUAAGAGGAACACCAGUGGCGAAGGCGACUUACUGGGCUGUAACUGACGUUGAGGCGCGAAAGUGUGGGGGGCAAACAGG
This 402-nucleotide ribosomal RNA is filed under the name uncultured bacterium. Its description in RNAcentral is "partial 16S ribosomal RNA". It matches the Rfam family "Bacterial small subunit ribosomal RNA", at positions 360 to 776 of the family's 1533-position model. The record is from RNAcentral.